UACGGAGGGGGCUAGCGUUGUUCGGAAUUACUGGGCGUAAAGCGCACGUAGGCGGACCGGAAAGUUGGGGGUGAAAUCCCGGGGCUCAACCUCGGAACUGCCUUCAAAACUAUCGGUCUGGAGUUCGAGAGAGGUGAGUGGAAUUCCGAGUGUAGAGGUGAAAUUCGUAGAUAUUCGGAGGAACACCAGUGGCGAAGGCGGCUCACUGGCUCGAUACUGACGCUGAGGUGCGAAAGCUGGGGAGCAAACAGGAUUAGAAACCCUAGUAGU
This 270-nucleotide ribosomal RNA is filed under the name uncultured bacterium. Its description in RNAcentral is "partial 16S ribosomal RNA". It matches the Rfam family "Bacterial small subunit ribosomal RNA", at positions 524 to 794 of the family's 1533-position model. The record is from RNAcentral.